GAUGAACGCUGGCGGCGUGCUUAACACAUGCAAGUCGAACGAUGAAGCCCAGCUUUCGGGGUGGUUUAGUGGCCAACGGGUGAGUAACACGUGCGUAACUUGCCCUUCUCUCUGAGUUAGACCUGUUCAACUGGCCCUAGUACCUGCCAGGUGCUCCUACCGCACGGAUGGUGUUGUAAAGAUUUAUCGUUUUUGGAUGGCCUCGCGGUCUAUCAGCUUGUUGGUGAGGUAAUGGCACACCAAGGCGAUGCCGGGUAGCCGGCCUGGGAGGGUGCACGGCCACAAUGGGACUGCGGGACGGACCAGACUCCUACGGGAGGCAGCAGGCGGGAAUAUUGCACAAUGGGCGAAAGCCUGAUGCAGCGACGUCGCGUGAGUGAUGAUGGCCUUCGGGGUGUAAACAUCUUUCAGUAGGGAAGAAGCGAAAGUGACGGUACCUGCAGAAGAAGCACCGGCUAACUACGUG
Molecule: ribosomal RNA, 466 nt
Filed under: uncultured bacterium
Lineage: Bacteria
Description: partial 16S ribosomal RNA
Rfam family: Bacterial small subunit ribosomal RNA
Source: RNAcentral